AUUAGCUCAGUUGGUAGAGCACCUGACUUUUAAUCAGGGUGUCCCGAGUUCGAAUCUCGG
RNAcentral lists this transfer RNA (60 nucleotides) under Megasphaera lornae. It matches the Rfam family "tRNA", at positions 8 to 63 of the family's 71-position model. Rfam says of the family: Transfer RNA (tRNA) molecules are approximately 80 nucleotides in length. Their secondary structure includes four short double-helical elements and three loops (D, anti-codon, and T loops). Further hydrogen bonds mediate the characteristic L-shaped molecular structure. tRNAs have two regions of fundamental functional importance: the anti-codon, which is responsible for specific mRNA codon recognition, and the 3' end, to which the tRNAs corresponding amino acid is attached (by aminoacyl-tRNA synthetases). tRNAs cope with the degeneracy of the genetic code in two manners: having more than one tRNA (with a specific anti-codon) for a particular amino acid; and 'wobble' base-pairing, i.e. permitting non-standard base-pairing at the 3rd anti-codon position. Lineage: Bacteria; Bacillati; Bacillota; Negativicutes; Veillonellales; Veillonellaceae. RNAcentral also lists the same sequence under 2 other names. The record is from RNAcentral.